GAUUAUCAUAACCGUACCAUAUAUUUACGACUGCUACCUAACCUUCGAUUUCUAAACCCUAACUCCUUUCGCCUCUGCGUUUCGUCCUUGCCAGAUCGAAUUCGAGGGGAAAAUGAGUAGCCGUGCCAGCAGAACGGUCUAUGUGGGAAAUCUCCCGGGUGAUAUUCGUGAAAAAGAAGUGGAGGAUUUAUUUUACAAGUAUGGACGCAUAGCUCACAUUGAUCUCAAGGUUCCACCAAGACCUCCUGGUUAUGCAUUUGUUGAGUUCGAAGAUGCAGAAGAUGCUCAAGAUGCUAUUCGUGGUCGUGAUGGCUAUGAUUUUGAUGGGCACAGGUUACGUGUGGAACUUGCUCAUGGUGGUCGUGGUCAUUCUUCAUCUAGUGAUCGUUAUAGUAGUCAUGGAGGAAGCCGUGGUGGGCGUGGAGUAUCUAGGCGCUCUGAUUAUCGUGUAUUAGUCACAGGAUUACCUUCUUCCGCCUCAUGGCAAGAUUUAAAGGAUCACAUGCGGCGAGCUGGGGAUGUUUGUUUCUCCCAAGUGUUUCGUGAUGGUAGUGGAACUACAGGGAUCGUGGACUACACUAACUAUGAUGACAUGAAAUAUGCAAUUAAAAAACUUGAUGAUUCUGAGUUCCGAAAUGCAUUUUCUCGGUCAUAUGUUCGUGUGAGAGAAUAUGAUUCAAAGAGGGAUCUCUCCAGGAGCCCUAGUCGUGGGCGGUCACACUCUAGAGGGAGGAGUUAUAGUCGCAGUCGUAGUAGAGGCCGUAGUAGGAGCAAGAGCCGCAGUAGGAGCAAGUCUCCAAAAGCCAAAUCUUCCCAGCGGUCACCUGUUAAAUCCCGAUCGAGGUCUGCUUCCCCUGCUCGCUCCCGGUCAAAGUCAUCAUCUCUUUCAGGAUAUGGAAAUAUGCGGCAUACUGGGGAUUGGAUAUUAGGAUCUUGAUGGGAUAUGAUUCAAUUGCCUUCAAUGCUUUUGGUUGAGAAGAUUGGGAUCAAAGGAGAUCAUGGAUUGCAAAAAUAGAGCUGGAUAUCUUGAACUAAGUGCUAUUUGGACUUGGAAGUCAUCAUCACUUUCAUUUACAUUUUCUGCUGCAAGAUUUGCAAGCUAAUAGGACGCACUAUCUGGAUCCGUUGUGGACUUUUUUGAGGCACAGUAGGGAAGAAUGCUCCUAUCCCGUCCACUGGUGUCUAUAAUAUACAGUUUCCUGUAGAUUAAAGUACUUCUGAUUUUAGGUUCAUCACUGUUGGAGUCUUAAAUUUUAAAUUUGCACAAUAAUCUUCACAGUUGAACUACUAAAAUUACAAUUUUUCUUAUCUUACUUGUAUGAUGUUGAUGAGGCGUCAGGCUCUUGGAUCAAAAUUGGUAAAAGAGAUGUGGAUUUUAAAUUGAGUUGUUUCUGGACCUUUUGCAGAUCUCGAUCAAGAUCAAGAUCUCCACUGCCUAAUCGUGGCAAACGUACUAGUAAAAGUCCCAAAAGACGCGAUGCUAGCAAAAGCCCUAGCCGAAGCAAG
Molecule: non-coding RNA, 1506 nt
Organism: Momordica charantia (bitter melon)
Lineage: Eukaryota; Viridiplantae; Streptophyta; Magnoliopsida; Cucurbitales; Cucurbitaceae
Source: RefSeq, a predicted model, not a curated record